GAACGUACUGUUUCGUUGAUCUCCUCUCUCUUACCUCUAUCUGUCGUUCUCUGUCUGAUCUCUCUCCCUCUCUCUCUACAUUGGCGGUGGGUUCUCUCUAUCCUCUCUCUUCUGGUACCUCUAUCUGUCGUUCUCUGUCUGAUCUCUCUCCCUUUCGCUACAUUGGCGGUGGGUUCUCUCUAAUCUCCCUCUCCUUUUGUGACCACGGCUUAGAGUCUGGUUUGUAUAAAACUCUCUUGCAAACCCUAAUCAAUUGGUCGUUUUACUUUUUUGGGGUUAGAUUAAAAUCUUGGCUCUAACAAUUACCAAUCAAAGGGUCGUCAUGUCUCCUCAGUCUUCAGGUUUACUUGUUGGAAGAGAAAAACUAAUUGGAAUGAGCGGUGUCGGUAAAAGAUAGGUGAUGCUGGUAUGAAGACCUACGUUAUCUGUGAACCGGAAGUCACGAGAAAACAAAUCGAGACAGAUCAGUAACAGUACUUGCCGUAGUGGCCAAGGGUAGGGAAGAUAACAACAGCGUCAUAGUGGUCAAGCUGAAGUUGCAAUGGCGGUCGUGUCCUGGCGUGCUUGUUACUUCAAUCAAUUGGUAAAUAUUCUUAUUAUUGAUUUAAUAAAUUAAUCUAAUUAUUAAGAUUUAUUUUAAUAGUUGUCAGUAUGAGCUUUGCUUUGGUAACGAAAGUUUGAAAUUUUAUUCGAUAGCUAUUUGAGCUUGUAAGAAGCAGCAGCAAUUUAUUGAGCUUGUAUAGUAGUGUUCUAAUGUUUUAUAUGGUUGAUCUUGUUGGAAGAGCUUAACGAACAAUUAAGUGAUUGUAAUAACUUUAUUUUACCAACUUUGAUUCAGGUGAUCCUUGUAUAUAUGAAACCUAUGUAAUUUGCGAGCAAGAGGUGAUAGUGAUAAAAGUGAACUGAAUCAGAUGACUUUAUUAUAA
This is a long non-coding RNA of Cornus florida, 926 nucleotides long. RefSeq lists it as uncharacterized. The record is from RefSeq and is a predicted model, not a curated record. The transcript has 4 exons. Lineage: Eukaryota; Viridiplantae; Streptophyta; Magnoliopsida; Cornales; Cornaceae.